Mus caroli (Ryukyu mouse) is the source of this 830-nucleotide non-coding RNA. The record is from RefSeq and is a predicted model, not a curated record. Lineage: Eukaryota; Metazoa; Chordata; Mammalia; Rodentia; Muridae.
UCUCGCUUCCACUCGGUCCUCCUUUUGUUAGCGCUCUGGCUUCCAUCAGGUCUACGCCUGCUCCCGUGCAAUCCGGCGCCAUCGCGCUUUGGGCGAGCAUGGCAAUGGGGAGUUGAGAGGUGGGAACCGAGCUGACGCCUGCCUGGCCCUGGCGAUGGUGGUGUGCGCCGGGAAAGGACUGAUUGGAGAAUGGUGCCUAAAGGGAUGCCGAGGGGACGCAGGAGCUCUCGGUGUGACCUGGCGCUGUGGAUGUAAUACACAUCAGCUUGAGUGGGGCUGCUCCGCUGUCCUCAUGAGAGAACCCUUUUUCUGAAGAUGGGAGGUGGCUAAUGAAAGAAGGAAUUGUGUUCUCGGUGAUGUCCUGAAGAGAUGCGGGAUGAUGGAAGAUGAUGAUGAAAUGCAGGAGAGCCAGUAUCUUGGAGGUUGACUAUCGGCUAGGAUCCAGGACUGAGUAUAAGAGCAUGCAUGUCCAAGAAUGAAAUCAAAGGAUGUUUUUUGUAAGAGUAAUGCUUACAGAAAUAUUCAUUAAUUUGAAGAUUUAUAUAAGGCUUGGUGACCUCCGUUAAUUCCUGGGACCCACAGUGUGGAAGAAGAGACCUGACUCCUGGAAGUUGUCUUCUGACCACAUGCACACAAUACGUAAAUAAAUGUAAUUAAAAACAAUCAAAAUAGUAAAACUGAAACAUUAGAAUGUUGUGUUUUAUUGAAAUGUAAACAUGGUGCAAAGGAUUAUGGAACAAUGCUGCAUGCUUUGUGACAGAACUUUAUCAUGGUUUGAAAUGAGAAAGGGAUCAAAAUUGUCAAAAGAAUUAAAGUCUUUGUAAACCUUU